RNAcentral lists this ribosomal RNA (483 nucleotides) under uncultured bacterium. RNAcentral describes it as "partial 16S ribosomal RNA". It matches the Rfam family "Bacterial small subunit ribosomal RNA", at positions 28 to 507 of the family's 1533-position model. The record is from RNAcentral.
GAUGAACGCUAGCGGCAGGCCUAAUACAUGCAAGUCGGACGGGAUUCAGGAGCUUGCUUCUGAUGAGAGUGGCGCACGGGUGCGUAACACGUAUGUAACCUACCUUUAUCAGGGGGAUAGCCUCUCGAAAGAGAGAUUAAGCCCGCAUAAAAUCACAGCACAGCAUUGUGUAAUGAUCAAAUAUUUAUAGGAUAAAGAUGGGCAUGCGGAACAUUAGCUAGAUGGCGGGGUAACGGCCCACCAUGGCGACGAUGUUUAGGGGAUCUGAGAGGAUGGCCCCCCCACACUGGUACUGAGACACGGACCAGACUCCUACGGGAGGCAGCAGUAAGGAAUAUUGGUCAAUGGGCGGAAGCCUGAACCAGCCAUGCCGCGUGCAGGAAGACGGCCCUACGGGUUGUAAACUGCUUUUAUACGGGAAUAAACCCAGAUACGUGUAUCUGGCUGAAUGUACUGUAAGAAUAAGGAUCGGCUAACUCCGUG